ACUCUUUGGUGUAUGCUUGGUUGUGGUUAUAAUUUAUGAAUUCACAUGCAAUCAUAAAGGAAAAAUCAGGUUUGUAACAUGCUUGAAAAAAGGAACUCAAAUGUACGCUACAACCUUGUGAGACUUGAGCCUAAACGUUUAUUUGGAGAGUUAAUAAAUUGUGCAUCAUUGUUUUCUAAAGUCGUUGCAUGAUCUCAUUAUUCUUUGCUUGGUUGCUAC
This 219-nucleotide long non-coding RNA is filed under the name Malus domestica (apple). RNAcentral describes it as "long non-coding RNA (MDOM_LNC019098)". The record is from RNAcentral. Lineage: Eukaryota; Viridiplantae; Streptophyta; Magnoliopsida; Rosales; Rosaceae.